AUAUUGUCAAUUUCUCACGGGCACCACGCGUAAGAGAGUAUCGUUUUUGUAAAUGUAAAUUUGUUGUGCAUUUGUUAGAUAUAUAAAAUGGGUAUACUAGAAAAAAUAUCGGAAAUUGAAAAAGAAAUUGCACGAACACAGAAGAAUAAAGCUACUGAAUAUCAUUUAGGUUUGUUAAAAGCAAAGCUUGCAAAAUACAGAUCACAACUUUUAGAACCACCAAAGAAGUCUGAGAAAGGAGAAGGCUUUGAUGUCUUAAAAUCAGGAGAUGCAAGAGUAGCGUUAAUAGGUUUUCCUUCUGUAGGAAAAUCUACUUUGUUAAGUACAUUAACACACACAGAAUCUGAAGCAGCAUCUUAUGAAUUUACUACUUUAACUUGUAUACCUGGUGUUAUUGAAUAUAAAGGAGCUAAUAUUCAACUUCUUGAUCUUCCUGGAAUAAUUGAAGGUGCUGCACAGGGUAAAGGAAGAGGUAGACAAGUAAUAGCUGUUGCAAGAACAGCAGACUUAGUUCUUAUGAUGCUUGAUGCAACAAAACAAGAUGUACAAAGGCAACUCUUAGAAAAAGAAUUGGAAUCAGUUGGUAUACGACUUAAUAAAAAAAAACCAAAUAUAUAUUUUAAAAUAAAAAAAGGAGGUGGAUUAGCAUUUAAUUCAACAUGUCCAUUAACAAAAGUUGAUGAAAAAUUAGUUCAAAUGAUUUUACAUGAAUAUAAAAUUUUCAACGCCGAAGUUUUAUUUCGUGAAGAUUGUAGUGCAGAUGAGUUAAUCGAUGUGAUUAAUGCCAACAGAGUAUACUUACCAUGUCUUUAUGUACAUAAUAAAAUAGAUCAAAUAUCAAUAGAAGAAGUGGAUAGAAUUGCUAGACAGCCUAAUAGUGUAGUAGUUAGUUGCAACAUGAAAUUGAAUUUAGAUUUCCUUCUUGAAACAUUGUGGGAAUAUUUAUCUUUAAUAAGGGUUUAUACAAAAAAACCUGGACAACCACCUGAUUUUGAAGAUGGUUUAAUAUUAAGAAAAGGUGUUACAGUAGAACAUGUAUGUCAUGCAAUUCAUCGUUCACUUGCUCAACAAUUUAAGUAUGCCCUUGUUUGGAACAGUCAAAUAAAGGAAUUGAUUACGUUUGGUCUUAAUUGAAGAAAAUGUUUGAAUAACCGAACAUAAUAUAUGCUAAAUCAAUUGAAUGUGAAAUGAGGAAAUGUGUGAUUGCAAAAUGCAUAGAAGAAAGAAACGCGUGAGUUAUUCCGCUGUUUUAAAAUAAUAUAAAGAGAUAAAACAGCGUAAAGAGCCUACUUGCGGACAGCACUGUUUCAGAUAAUGGUACAAGUACCAAGUAUUCACCUCAACGAGUUGGCUUGCAACACGUUAUGCACGAUGAAGAUGUUAUUCAAAUAGUUAAAAAAUAAAAUUUAUACUAUUACGUGCAUAAAUUACCUGUGAAAAUAUUAAUUGCAGAAAUAGAACA
Molecule: RNA transcript, 1462 nt
Organism: Frieseomelitta varia
Lineage: Eukaryota; Metazoa; Arthropoda; Insecta; Hymenoptera; Apidae
Gene name: developmentally-regulated GTP-binding protein 2
Exons: 6
Source: RefSeq, a predicted model, not a curated record